This 2902-nucleotide ribosomal RNA is filed under the name Klebsiella pneumoniae. Its description in RNAcentral is "23S ribosomal RNA". It matches the Rfam family "Bacterial large subunit ribosomal RNA". Lineage: Bacteria; Pseudomonadati; Pseudomonadota; Gammaproteobacteria; Enterobacterales; Enterobacteriaceae. The record is from RNAcentral.
GGUUAAGCGACUAAGCGUACACGGUGGAUGCCCUGGCAGUCAGAGGCGAUGAAGGACGUGCUAAUCUGCGAAAAGCGUCGGUAAGGUGAUAUGAACCGUUACAGCCGGCGAUGUCCGAAUGGGGAAACCCAGUGCAAUUCGUUGCACUAUCGUUAACUGAAUACAUAGGUUAACGAGGCGAACCGGGGGAACUGAAACAUCUAAGUACCCCGAGGAAAAGAAAUCAACCGAGAUUCCCCCAGUAGCGGCGAGCGAACGGGGAGCAGCCCAGAGUCUGAAUCAGCUUGUGUGUUAGUGGAACGGUCUGGAAAGUCCGACGGUACAGGGUGAUAGUCCCGUACACCAAAAUGCACAGGCUGUGAACUCGAAGAGUAGGGCGGGACACGUGGUAUCCUGUCUGAAUAUGGGGGGACCAUCCUCCAAGGCUAAAUACUCCUGACUGACCGAUAGUGAACCAGUACCGUGAGGGAAAGGCGAAAAGAACCCCGGCGAGGGGAGUGAAAAAGAACCUGAAACCGUGUACGUACAAGCAGUGGGAGCACCUUCGGGUGUGACUGCGUACCUUUUGUAUAAUGGGUCAGCGACUUAUAUUCUGUAGCAAGGUUAACCGUAUAGGGGAGCCGCAGGGAAACCGAGUCUUAACUGGGCGUUAAGUUGCAGGGUAUAGACCCGAAACCCGGUGAUCUAGCCAUGGGCAGGUUGAAGGUUGGGUAACACUAACUGGAGGACCGAACCGACUAAUGUUGAAAAAUUAGCGGAUGACUUGUGGCUGGGGGUGAAAGGCCAAUCAAACCGGGAGAUAGCUGGUUCUCCCCGAAAGCUAUUUAGGUAGCGCCUCGUGAACUCAUCUUCGGGGGUAGAGCACUGUUUCGGCUAGGGGGUCAUCCCGACUUACCAACCCGAUGCAAACUACGAAUACCGAAGAAUGUUAUCACGGGAGACACACGGCGGGUGCUAACGUCCGUCGUGAAGAGGGAAACAACCCAGACCGCCAGCUAAGGUCCCAAAGUCAUGGUUAAGUGGGAAACGAUGUGGGAAGGCACAGACAGCCAGGAUGUUGGCUUAGAAGCAGCCAUCAUUUAAAGAAAGCGUAAUAGCUCACUGGUCGAGUCGGCCUGCGCGGAAGAUGUAACGGGGCUAAACCAUGCACCGAAGCUGCGGCAGCGACACUAUGUGUUGUUGGGUAGGGGAGCGUUCUGUAAGCCUGCGAAGGUGUGCUGUGAGGCAUGCUGGAGGUAUCAGAAGUGCGAAUGCUGACAUAAGUAACGAUAAAGCGGGUGAAAAGCCCGCUCGCCGGAAGACCAAGGGUUCCUGUCCAACGUUAAUCGGGGCAGGGUGAGUCGACCCCUAAGGCGAGGCCGAAAGGCGUAGUCGAUGGGAAACAGGUUAAUAUUCCUGUACUUGGUGUUACUGCGAAGGGGGGACGGAGAAGGCUAUGUUAGCCGGGCGACGGUUGUCCCGGUUUAAGCAUGUAGGCUGGUUAUCCAGGCAAAUCCGGAUAAUCAAGGCUGAGGUGUGAUGACGAGGCACUACGGUGCUGAAGUAACAAAUGCCCUGCUUCCAGGAAAAGCCUCUAAGCAUCAGGUAACAUCAAAUCGUACCCCAAACCGACACAGGUGGUCAGGUAGAGAAUACCAAGGCGCUUGAGAGAACUCGGGUGAAGGAACUAGGCAAAAUGGUGCCGUAACUUCGGGAGAAGGCACGCUGGUGUGUAGGUGAAGUCCCUGCGGAUGGAGCUGAGACCAGUCGAAGAUACCAGCUGGCUGCAACUGUUUAUUAAAAACACAGCACUGUGCAAACACGAAAGUGGACGUAUACGGUGUGACGCCUGCCCGGUGCCGGAAGGUUAAUUGAUGGGGUUAUCCGUAAGGAGAAGCUCUUGAUCGAAGCCCCGGUAAACGGCGGCCGUAACUAUAACGGUCCUAAGGUAGCGAAAUUCCUUGUCGGGUAAGUUCCGACCUGCACGAAUGGCGUAAUGAUGGCCAGGCUGUCUCCACCCGAGACUCAGUGAAAUUGAACUCGCUGUGAAGAUGCAGUGUACCCGCGGCAAGACGGAAAGACCCCGUGAACCUUUACUAUAGCUUGACACUGAACAUUGAGCCUUGAUGUGUAGGAUAGGUGGGAGGCUUUGAAGCGUGGACGCCAGUCUGCGUGGAGCCAACCUUGAAAUACCACCCUUUAAUGUUUGAUGUUCUAACGUUGGCCCCUGACCGGGGUUGCGGACAGUGUCUGGUGGGUAGUUUGACUGGGGCGGUCUCCUCCCAAAGCGUAACGGAGGAGCACGAAGGUUAGCUAAUCCUGGUCGGACAUCAGGAGGUUAGUGCAAUGGCAUAAGCUAGCUUGACUGCGAGCGUGACGGCGCGAGCAGGUGCGAAAGCAGGUCAUAGUGAUCCGGUGGUUCUGAAUGGAAGGGCCAUCGCUCAACGGAUAAAAGGUACUCCGGGGAUAACAGGCUGAUACCGCCCAAGAGUUCAUAUCGACGGCGGUGUUUGGCACCUCGAUGUCGGCUCAUCACAUCCUGGGGCUGAAGUAGGUCCCAAGGGUAUGGCUGUUCGCCAUUUAAAGUGGUACGCGAGCUGGGUUUAGAACGUCGUGAGACAGUUCGGUCCCUAUCUGCCGUGGGCGCUGGAGAAUUGAGGGGGGCUGCUCCUAGUACGAGAGGACCGGAGUGGACGCAUCACUGGUGUUCGGGUUGUCAUGCCAAUGGCACUGCCCGGUAGCUAAAUGCGGAAGAGAUAAGUGCUGAAAGCAUCUAAGCACGAAACUUGCCCCGAGAUGAGUUCUCCCUGAGACUUUAAGUCUCCUGAAGGAACGUUGAAGACGACGACGUUGAUAGGCCGGGUGUGUAAGCGCAGCGAUGCGUUGAGCUAACCGGUACUAAUGAACCGUGAGGCUUAACCUU